CCUAUGGGGUGCAGCAGUUACGAGAACUUUACAAUGCGCGAAAGCGUGAUAAGGGGAUCCUAAGUGAUAUAGCUUAUGGUUAUAUCUGUGGAGAAAUGUAAAAUAUUUCUCAAGAAAGGGGUGGGCAAUAUCGGUGCCAGCAGCCGCGGUAAUACCGGAGCCCCGAGUGGUGACCGUUUUUAUUGGGUCUAAAGCGUCCGUAGCCGGAUUAUUAAGUUCUCAGUGAAAUUGUUAGGCUUAACCUAACGAAUGGCCUUGAAUACUGGUAAUCUAGGGAUCGGGAGAGGCCAAGAGUAUGCCUAGGGGAGGGGUAAAAUCCUUUAAUCCUAGGCAGACUACCAAUGGCGAAGGCACUUGGCUAGAACGAGUCCGACGGUGAGGGACGAAAGUUAGGGUAGCAAACGGGAUUAGAUACCCCCGUAGUCC
This 426-nucleotide ribosomal RNA is filed under the name uncultured archaeon. RNAcentral describes it as "bacterial SSU rRNA". It matches the Rfam family "Archaeal small subunit ribosomal RNA", at positions 322 to 747 of the family's 1478-position model. The record is from RNAcentral.